UGGAAACGGGUGGUAAUGCCGGAUGCUCCGACUCCUCGCAUGGGGUGUCGGGAAAGAUUUCAUCGGUAUGGGAUGGGGUCGCGUCCUAUCAGGUAGUCGGCGGGGUAACGGCCCACCGAGCCUACGACGGGUAGCCGGCCUGAGAGGGCGACCGGCCACAUUGGGACUGAGAUACGGCCCAGACUCCUACGGGAGGCAGCAGUGGGGAAUAUUGCACAAUGGGCGCAAGCCUGAUGCAGCGACGCCGCGUGCGGGAUGACGGCCUUCGGGUUGUAAACCGCUUUUGAUCGGGAGCAAGCCUUCGGGUGAGUGUACCUUUCGAAUAAGCACCGGCUAACUACGUGCCAGCAGCCGCGGUAAUACGUAGGGUGCAAGCGUUAUCCGGAAUUAUUGGGCGUAAAGGGCUCGUAGGCGGUUCGUCGCGUCCGGUGUGAAAGUCCAUCGCUUAACGGUGGAUCUGCGCCGGGUACGGGCGGGCUGGAGUGCGGUAGGGGAGACUGGAAUUCCCGGUGUAACGGUGGAAUGUGUAGAUAUCGG
Molecule: ribosomal RNA, 537 nt
Filed under: Bifidobacterium pseudocatenulatum
Lineage: Bacteria; Bacillati; Actinomycetota; Actinomycetes; Bifidobacteriales; Bifidobacteriaceae
Description: bacterial SSU rRNA
Rfam family: Bacterial small subunit ribosomal RNA
Source: RNAcentral